AGGAUGGCAGAGGCCCCGCCCACUUUCCCACCGGGCGCGGGGGCGGUGCGGCUUAGAUCCACCCUUAUUGCCUCACCGCGCAAGCUGCUGUUGCGCGGACUAGCUGCAGGGAUGCUCCUGAGACUCCAGUGUACCGAAUUUGGAUCCGUUAAGGCAUGCCUUGGAGAUACUUUGGGUUUGGUUCCAGACCACGGCAAUAAAGCAAAUAUCACAAUAAAGAACUUUUUGAUGAAUUACACCAAAGAACAUUUGUAUAACAAUGGUCUGUAGAGCACUGGAAAGGCGUCAUGAUAAUUUGUAGGUAUCAUCUCUGUUUUCACGGAUGAAGAAAUGGAGGCCAAAAGUCAAUAACCUGUCCAGUUUCACACAGCUGAUCAGUGGAAAGACUGGGGUUUGAAUUCUGAUCUGUUUGACAGAGAUUCUGUAAGACAAGUGCUGUUAAUAUUGUCACCGGUUUAUAGUUGUCCAGCUCUGAGUUACUACUACUCAUCAAAUGGGCAGAAUGUGUCUCCCAUGCCCUGAGUUAGGGCCUAUUGUCUCCUCUAGGAUCCUUCACUCUCCUCCAAGACCCAAACAAAUGGAGGCGCUGCAGAACCAAUCUCUGUCCUUAGCUCCCAAGAACCUUAAACUAUGUAUCAUUCCCGAACAGUGCGUGAGGCAAAAAGCCAUGUCUGUGGAAGGAAAGCGGGUCAUAACAGAAGGGAGAUCUACGUUGUGCCUGGGGAGAGUGGGAAAGACUAGUUAUCAAUGAGCAACUCCUUGUACUCCUACCCUGGACCCGAUCAGAAUAUUCGAAACUGAUACCUUGCCAGAUGAUCUGAGCCAUAUCAUCCCAGCACUUUCGAGAAAUAUCUUUUUUUCACACAAGGGAGAAUUAGCUACCUUUCUUUCACCCAAUGGUGGUAAACGCAUAAAUAACUUCCCUUGGGAUUUGCAGAUAGGAUCAAUAGUUUGUUUCUUUUCCCCUUACUUGACAUGAAGUUUAUGGGAAGAACAUAUGAGUGAGCGUAUGUGUAUGUGUCUUGUAAGCUCAUUUCUAAUCAGCCCCUGGGAAUGCUGGAUCUGAGAAACACUUUGUCCUUCUGAGGAACAAAACCCUUCCCAGGUGACUGCUCAUCAUGCACAGGCGGGUGAUAUUGAGGACCAUGACAAUGGUGAAGGCCACAAGGCAGACGACCAUGUAGUAGACGCCCAUGUCUCCAGAGGUAAAGAUGACUCUCAGGGUCACCGUGUUGUUCACAGUGCCAUGGAUGUUAGAAGCAACACAUGUGUAUUUACCUCGGUCUGAAAAAGACACCUUGGUGAUGUUCAGGAGGCCGCUGUCAUGCAUCUGCCAUUUUCCUGUGGGAAGGAAGGGGGGAAAAUUCAACCGAGGACACACAGGUCAUAUUAAAGUGUCUACAAACUCUCACAUUACUAAAAACAUCUACUGCCGCCACUGCUACUCCUGCUACUGAUACCGACAGUGAACAAUUACUACGUGCCAGCCAGUGACACAGUGAUGUGCGUUAAUGCUUUUCAUCUCCACAACGACUCUGAGGUUGGUACUCAUACCGGCUCCAUUUCACAGGAUGAAAAGACUAAGGCACGGUUAGAUUAGCCCACCUUCCCAAGGUCACCAGUUUGGAAGAAGUGGGAGAGCAGAUGAACUCAGGGUCGAAAGGCUAUACUCUUAACCCCCAAGCCAUGCUACGUAAUUCUACAGCCUCGUGAAAAGUAGGAAAAAUAAACAAUCUGGAAAAUACUGCGCUCUUAUUAAAGAAUUCCUUAAACAUAGCAUCUGGUUUUCUAACCUGCCCACGAGCAUGACGCUAUUGAAUAUAUAUGUUCAUUGAGGGAGUUUAAUGCUUCUAAGAAUAUAAAGUAUUUUAGGAUCAACAUAAAGUCUGGAGUAAGCCAAUUAAAUUAUAAUUGUUUACCUGGGUUUCUCAUAUUUGAGGUUGAAGUUAUCCUUGUAUGACCUCAGUUAAUUCAAGCAUAACAUGUCAUUAAUUUUGAGAAUUUAUGAUGAAUUGUUUAUAGUACUUAAAAGUUACAAGCUAACAAUGUGAACAUUCAGAGGCUGGGUAUGAAUUAAUACCAAUUUAAUGUUUUAGUCUUGCAAAUAAAUUAUAGACCCAUCAAGUCGAAAAUAAGCCUCACAUAAUGGAGAAUGCAUGUUGAUAAGUGCAGUUCUAUUUCCUUCUCUGGCCUGAAAAGGAGCUAGUGUUGCCCCAGGGAUGAAGUUCUAAAUCAGGGGAAACUCUUUCAUUGGGAUUCAUUCUUUGUCUGCCUCUGUACCCACAGGUCAUUAGAGGUUUGGCUUCUAGGUCCUGGGUCUGAGGCUUUCUGAAAGCCUACCACCUCCCUAUACUGUCCUAUAGAGAUGGAAGGGUCCAGGACAGUUCUCUUGGGAGCUCUGAGGAGCAGACAGCGAGAUAUUUCUCCAUAAAAGCACUCCGGCUCCACAAGCCAACUAGAGGAGCCUCUCCUGAGAGAUGGAGCAGUUCAACAUGUAGUUUUCCUUUUAAGUACCUAUUAUCGAAUUGUAUUUUCACUUGUUUCUUCUCCUUCUGGCAGUGACUUCUAAUUCUAUUUAAAAAUCUGAUAUUUCCCAAAAGCAACAAGCAACUUGUUCCCCUCCUCCCCCCCUUUUAAACUUGUGAACACAUAAGUGACUACAGUCUCAGGGCACUAUGGACUGAAGCAAGAGAGGGCCUUCUUCAUUCCAGCAUCUUCUACUCCUAGGAAUAUCCUUAAGGAAGCUAGGGUGAGGAGGUGAGGUGCCUUCUGGGGACCUGUGGCCCCUCCUACCUGCUAGGCACGCUGGAUCUAGCAGGAUGCCUCUUGUAGGUGCUGUCCUAUUACUCUUUCUGAAAGAACAUCUGUGAAGAGUGGUUCCUAGUGUCCCCAAGUAACCCUUUUCUAACAAUUCGGCCAGUGUCUUUUCCCCAAGAGUAGAAAACACUGGUUUGGAAAAUCUAGUGAAUUUUUGGUUUCUUGUGAAUGUGUGUCAACCGACAAACCUAAGCACCCAGUCUGUGAAAUCUUCUCUCGUUUAGAUUGGGCAGGCCUUCCACUCCCUUCAUUCCCUGAACGUGGAUUUUGAUACUUCGGCUGCAGGUUUGUCCAAAUGUAGAAAUAAUCUGGGGCAAGGGAAUCAAUGUAUUAUCAAUUUAUAUUUUUAACAUGUGCAUGUUUCAUAAAGGUGGACUACAGCGGGCAUAGGCAAACUCGAGUUGACUGGAAACUUAUUACGGAUAUGGAAGGUAUUUGGUUCCAGAAAAUUACAGACUAUACUUGUAGGAGUUUCUCAAAUUUACCUUCUUUCUUUUGUUGGAAAAUAUAACAGGAACUAGGAUGGAAGAAGGUGAGGUGAGGUUAUUUAUGUGGGGAGUGGUAAGGGUCAAAUUGUUCAACUCCUAACCUCCCAUGGCCGUUCCUUUUAUGGAGGAAUUACCUCCAAAGUAGUCUGAACCUGGGAGUAGCAGAAGAGCAGAAAAGACCACUAAACUAAGAAGGCAGGUAUCUGAUGGUAUUAUGAACAGCUUCUCUUCACACCUAAAUAAUAAUUUUAGUGAUCACUGUAUUCUGUUAUGGGUCACAAAGCAAGUCUUUGGUAGCCAACAGACACACACGUAUGUGCACACACACACACACACACACACACACACACACCCCUUCCAAAGACCAUAAUGUCACAGGAGCUAAGGUUAUCACCUCAAAGGUGAUGUAAGUCUGUAUCACUUCUUUUUUAAAGGCUGAUACUAAGACUCUACAUAUUUCCUCUCAGUCUCAGCUUGACCGCUGGUUAGUGAAAAAUAAAGAUUUCUGUGUGUUCUACUACCAGAUGCAGCCCUGAAAACAACGAAGAUGGCAUAGAUUGCACUUUGUGGUCCUCCCACAUCAGCUCUGCACCCAGGCUCACGAAGAAUUUCCAUAUAGAACCCAUCCAGCUGGGAUCAUCUUGAGAACGUUUUCUGUCUUGCACGUUACCAUUCGCCUCAGUCUACAAAUAUCUUGCCCUGAGACUCAUUCUGGAAGGGUCUUGGCUUUAGCUUUAACUUUACUUAAGAAAACAAGAACACCCACAAUGACUGCCAUAGGAAACCAUCAGUGCUCUUCAUGAACUGCCAUAGGACCUUCCCACAGGUUUCCUCUCUGCCUGGAAAGCUCUCCUCCCUCCCGCCUCCAAGCCUUGCCUCACCCCUUCUUAGCCCAGUUCAGACACCACCUCGCUGUCACCUCGCUACCUGAGAAACCUUCUCUGACCCCUGACUAAACCAGUGAAGAAAAUCAGAAAGCCCAGAAGCAGAUGCCGGUCAAGAAGAGCCCAAGGCUAAGGGGAGACAUGACCGACUUCCAUUGGGGAAUGCAGCCAGAGAACACGACCUGUGUACUGGCACGUUUCCCCAUUCCACGCCAUGAAGCAAUUCGAUGUCAACUUGCUAUGGAGUCAAAUGCGACAAACUCCGAGAGCUCCAGUCGCGAGGCGGCGGCUUGCUGCACCCACAGCUUCCCGCACUCCUGCAGCAUCAGGACGCGGCACUCUCUCGGCUCUGGGCGCAGAACCCAAACUCCGGGCCUCCCGGCCACGGGACAGUACACCCUACCCCCGUCCCGGGGAAACUGAGGCACGGUGACCCAAGCGAUCUGGAGUCUGGCGAAGGCCCCCGCCGCUGCUUGGCGUUCCAGUGGCCCCGGAGGUUUGGGAGGCUCCUCGGCAGCACACUGUAGACACUGCGCUCCUCACCGUAGGAAGAUUAUGGCACAAGCCCAAGAGGUGGCUGUCCCCAACCCACCGGCCCCCGGGGUCCCGCCCCGCACGGAUCUCGAAGCAUCCUGCGACCCCCCAGGAGCCCGCUUCUGGGACCUCGCGGCGCCUCCAGUGCGCAGCCUACGCCUUGGGCUUCGCCAGCCUAAGCGCCCGAAAGUUCCGCGGCCCCAGCGUCCGCAGCGACCCGGCCGCCCACCCCGUGCGGGGCUCCCUGCCACCCGCGCCCAGUCGCCCCAUGCUGUCCCGGCGCCCCUGCUAACCUGACGCCGCCGCGCCACUCAGGUGGCCGCCGUGCGCCUCUCGCCAUGGCCAGCCUGCGAGCUGUCGCCGCUCCGCGCCCCGCGCCCGACGCCCGGCAGCACCGACUGCGGGCGAGCCGCCUCCGCCAGCGCCUGGCAGCGAUGCGGGCUGCGCCGCGGGCGGCCGAGAGUGCGGAGCUUCCCACCUACAGGAGCCGGAGCCGGCCGGUGCCGAGCAUGCCCAGUGCGGCUCGCCGGGCGGCGCGGAGGCGCGGGGCCAGGCGGGGUGUCGCCGCCGGGUUUUCGCUGCAGCCACAGGCGCGGGGCGGAGCUGGCGGCGCCGUGCGAACCUGUGGGAGCCGCGGGACACGCCCGCAGAGGAGUGGGGCGGGCUGGGGGCGCGGAGUCCCUCAUUCAGUUUGCUGAGCCUCCCGGGGUGGGACUCCGCCGGCCCCGGGGCCCCGCUCAAGCACGUCAUGGGUGUUGCUGGAGCCGAGGGCACUUAUUUCCGACGCUGUGGUGCUUGGGCAGCGUGACUGAUAAUUGUCAGGGGGCAGGGCGCUCCCAGGGCUUCCAGCGCAACUUUUCUGAGCGUCGCGUCGCCUUGUUGUUUAGGGACACCCGGGAACAGGUUUCCUAGGAUCCCAUCCUGGGAUACCGGAGAGAGCCAACGUCCAGCCCCUGAACUUACCGUGUCUCCAAGGCCACCUGUCAAGCCACUUUGCAAUUAAAAGCUUCGCUUGUCUCCCCGGGUGACUCUGCUGUCAGUUCUAAAUCCCACACUGAAGAAGCUGGAAGAAAACACAGCAGGACGUUCACUGGUGGCUUCUGAGAGGUGGGGUUCCAGGGAUUUUAAAUGUUCCUCAUUUUCGAUUAUUUGUAGGUUUCUAUGUUUUCUCUAAUGAACGAUAUGGUGCUUUUUAAAGAAGGUAUGUUAUUCUAAAAUUAUUUGUGAGUAACGCCUGCAGAACUUCGGCGGCACGACCCUGCGACGUAGGCAGCGCCCCCCGCCCUCCUCGUUUUCUUUUUAGACUUGAGGGAGACAAUUUCUGGGGGCUGGGCCAGGCUCCUCCUCCCCGGCUCCUUUCGGCCCGCCCCCUUGGCCACGCCUCACCUCGAUCCUUUUACUCCAGUACCGCCCCCUUCUCCUUCGGCUACUGCGAAAACUAGGAGAGGUGGAUUUUCAACACUGACGUUCCCCGUGGCUCUUGUAGCCAGACUGGGCAUGUUCCGCCGCCGGGUCAGGGACUGCUGACAGGAGAGAGGCGUCUUUAAGCAACUCUCAAUCUCCCUCCUUCUUCACUCUGUCCUUGGCGAACGAAACAAAGUAGCACCUCCGACCCCCUGCCCGGAGCUCGGACCUGCAAAGUGGGUCAGGACUCGACUGAGCAUGCUCAGAACAGUGCCAGAAUGCCGCACGCGGCUGCAUCUCGUUGCCCAAGGUUGAUGUAGCUGCGCUCGCUAGUCACGACCUCGAAGAAGAGAACACUGAAGUGCAGAAGGAUAACAGGGAAGAGAUUUUACAGGCUUGUGGUGAAUAAACUCAAGAACCCAGAGAGAGCCUUGCAGUGAGCCCAGGUUCUUUUCCUUUGGACCACUCCAUUAUCCCCUUCACUGGCAGAUGGACUUUGCAACCCCAGGGACUAGAAAUUGAGCCCAUCACUAUUAACAUGACAGAAAUCAUCUGGAGGCUGGAGAGAAUCGCCCCCAUGGGUCCUCCAAACAUUUGAAGAUUCCCCAGCUUUCCUCGUCCUACAGGCUUCAAGUGUCUGAAGUUUCUCAUGUUUGCCUUCUCUCAGUGGGAUUGACAGCCAUUGUGUAAUCCAUGGGUUGAAGACUGAAGAGCAACAAGAAGGAAGGAACUACAGUCUCUGAUUCACUGUUUGGACAGAGUUGCCUGCAGAUCACAUCUUUAAAAGUUUUAUGUGAGUCAGAAAUAAACUUUGAUUGUAUUAAGUCUUUGAGAAUGUUGUCUAAUACAAUCAUGAUAUUCAAAAGGAUUAUUACAUGGUAAAAAUCUGGGCACUGUUUGCUAAAGUAAGAUGAGUUGGGAGUGACAUGGUUUCGGCCAUUUUGGGGAAGAGAUUUUAAGGCAGAAGAUGGGUUUCUGUGUCUUGAAUAACAAUAAAAUGAAAACCAUCAUUUCUCCCAUUAUAGUGGAAAAGUUUGGGGAUGUAUUACAAGCAAGGGGCUGUAAGAGAAGGUGGGAGUAGUCAUAAUCCCUUUACAAGAUGACCAGGAUUGGGCUAAGGUUGAGAUCGUAAAGUUAGAGAUUAUUUAGAAAAAAAAAAGGUUAAAUGCAACAAGAUAAAUGGGAUAUAUGGAGAACACUGAAAAAACUACAAGAAAGUCUGAGGUCUACAUCCUUGGCACCCAGCUCAGAGAUACAUACAAAUAAAUAGCCACUUAUCAAAUGUUCUUGAUGAUAAUGGCAUUGGCAGAAAAGCAAAGGAGACAUAAAACUGGUUUAUUAUACUAAAAUGUAUUUCUUUGAAAUAAGUCAGUACUUGUUAAGUACUUAGUAUGUAGAAUUAGUAGGAUUAGAACAAUGAAUAAAGAUGAGCCUUGUCCUCAAGUAAGAUGGUUAGAGAGGAUGCCUGACUUGAAGUCCAGGUAAUCGACUUCCACGUCUAAUCUCUGGACAUGAGUUUUUCAAUGUCCAGACCACCUCCUGUCUCAGGCACUAGCGUGGUCCUGUGCCAGCAUUAACACAAUCUGUUUGCUUGUACUUCCUGCUUCAAGACAAAAGUGAUCCUAGAAACAGAUCUUAGUGUUUACAAAGACUGGCAAAUGUGAUAAAAGAAUUAAUUCACGGAGAAAAGAUACCUUAUUAGGUAAAAAUUUUGAAAAUAUUUAGAUUUUUCACCUUAAUCAGUGCCCCCGAAUGAUAACUAAGUAGGUUUAAGUACAAAAUGAGGAAAAAAAACCCAAAAAACAAAAAACCUAGAAGUCCUUAUAAUCUGAUUUUAAGUGGAAAUAACAAGAUACAAACUUUUCUGUGUAAUUUUGACAAUGGAAAAUAAUUGCACAGCCAAAAUACUAGAUUUAGACAAGCCCUUCAAGAAAAUAUAUUACAAAUGGUCACUAAAUUGGGGUAGGCUAUUUAAAAAAUUUUCAUUAUUCUUUUAUGUAUUUUCCAAGUUUGCUUCCAUGAGUGUGCUUUACUUUCUUAAUAAGGAAAAAAAAACCCUCUGCUCUUAGCUACUAAACUAACCAGUAGCUGGGAUGACCAUAUUAUUAUUAAUGUAGACCAGAAGAAUAAUUAUGUGACUCAACAAUCUAUUAUGAUUUUAAUAAUAUUACUAGAGACAUGAGAUCUAGAGAUAGGAGGUAACAUCUGAUAUUAAAAUAUUAUGGGUUGGAGUGGAGGGCAACUUUUAUUUUAAGAAGUCAUGUUAAAGAAAAAGUACAACUCUUUUCCCCUUUUACCUCUUUCUUAAUGGCUUUUUCUUCAAUCAGUUGUUUUACAUCAUAAAUGCCCUUAAUUUUAAGCCAUAAAAACAUUCCAGCAGUAGGAACAUGCCAUUCUGCCAAACCUACAAACCAAAGAAGAGAAUAAAUAUCUGCUAAAGCCAGUUUUGAUGAUGUCAAAUCUGUUACUUAAUGAUUCAAUCGCAGUAACUGUCAACUAGUAUUUCUAAAAAUGUUCCUUCAGAGAUAGCAUUUUUAAACAUAGAAUUUUAUGACUCCUGACAAUUGAUGUUCUGAGUUUAUUCCACAAAUAAGAGAGGUGGUGAAGGUAGAGAGGGAGAUAUAUACAUGAGUAUAUAUUUCUAAUUGUAGUCAGUCUUAGGGUUGUGUGAGGAGUCUAUGGCCUAUGUCUACUUCCCGUAAUUAGAACCAUACAGAAGCCAAAUGUGGCUCUUUCAUAUUUAGGAGAGUCCUUAACUCCUACAUUAUUCCAGUGCUUCAAUAAAUCCUAUCUUUUAUGUAAUAGUUUUGAAGUCCAAUGGAUUAGAGUUUUUAUCAGAAUGUAAUUAAUUAUGAAAAGAAGUUCCUGAAAUUCAAGACCACAUGCAUUUGUAGGUUUUAAGUUUCAUUGAGUAUUAGGAUAGAGAAACCAAGAAGGAAGGAUAAUUAUUUUGAUUUUAAUUAUCUUUUUUUAAAAGUCGCUUUUGAAUCAAACCUUUUCUUUAACUCCAUUAUACAAAGUGGUAGGAUAGUACUCUUAUCAAAAAGACAAUUCUGUAUUUGCCAAGAGCUUACAAGAAACAAGAUAUGACAGAAAUAAGGACCUGUUUUUUUUUUUUUGUUUAUUGUUAAUCAUACUGAAGGCUUUUUUAAUGAUGUAAUUAAAACCAUGUAAUUCAUUAGUAGAAAAUUAAAUCUAACCCAUCCUACAAUCACAUUAGCAAUAGACAAUAUUAGAUAAAUGAGGUUAACGAUUAGAAUGCAAGUAAUCUGUAAUGAGAGAACUGCCUUAGAAUGUACUAUUUUGUUUUUAUACAGUCUGAUUAGAAAAGGAGUAUACUGUUGUUUGACAAUUCCUCAGCUGUUUGCGGGAAAUUUUGAAGUAACUCUAAAACCUUUUGAGUAUUGGCAUCAUUUAGCUUUAAGUUAUUGCUGAUGGGUUUUUAGACUAAAAGGUCCUUUUUUCUCCCUUUAAAACACAAGCUCUUUGCAGCGGACAGGUAAUGUAGAGAUAGGUAGAACAGUGCCAGGGUUUGGAGAUUGUUACUUUUGAGACUACUUACAGGGCACCAUUUCUUGGCAAGAAUACUUCUGGACUCUUGUUUCUUUUCUCCCAGGCUUAUUAUCAGUCACUAUGCGGUGUUUAUUCCCCACUCAUAAAAGUGCUAGUGUCUAUCACAGGACAGGAUAUAUGUUCCACUCACCACUUAACCAUUUGUCUGCAGCUGCCAGUAAUGCAUCCUUCUGCUUCCUAUAGAAAUCAGUAACCCUGGAAGAAACAAACAACGAAAAGCAUGUGUUAAAUACAUGCUUGAUUGAAGAAACCCAAAGGCUCUGGAGUCCAGUCUAUAGGAAUUUGUUUUCCACCUUGUUUAAAAGGUUGAAUACUUGAAAUGGGAACACAGCAUGUUUGUUUACCUGUCUGCUGUGUGGGUGCAGCUUCCCAAUCCUUUGCAGACAUCAUUCUAGUCAGCCACUGCCAAGAAACUAGUUCAUAUCCCAAAUGAAACCUACCUCAUAUCCCUUGUAUGAUGUUUAAAAAGCUAUGAACUAGAAUUUGGAGUUCAAGAAGACCAUCAGCCCUGAUUUACUGUUUGCCCAAAUGCGUGGUAUAGAGAGCUAGCUACUAUUUUAAAGGUAAGUCUAUUUCUGGAAAGAGCAGUAAUGCCAGACAUGAGAAAUACCAAUUCUGUGAUAAAACUGAAAGAUUUAAGAUUGAAGUGGUAGCAAAUUACUAAUAAUUUUAUUUAAUUUCCACAUAAAGAUAGAUUAGCUCUGACUCAGCAGCCAGGCUAAAAUCAAAUCAGUGUAAUAACUUACAACUUACCUUCCAAUUGUGAAAUAAAUUCAUAUCACCACUUACCUUGUUGAACUGGAGAAAAUAGUAAGGAUCAUCUUCUAUUAUGAGGAAAUCAUAUUUUCUUGCAAGCUAAAAAAGGUCAAAGUCAUAUAUUUAAUUCUUAAGAACUGUCUAAGCUGACUGGAAUCAUAAUUCUUUGUAUCCAUCCAUCCAUCCAUCCAUCCAUCCAUCCAUCCAUCCAUCCAAGAAACUACUGAGUACUUAUUGUUGUAGAUAAUGAAGAUAGAGGGAUGAACAAGGCACUGAGGGCUCUCGUUCACAUGGAACUUACAUUCCAAGUUCUGGGAAAGAUGAUAUACAUAAGACCAUGCAUAACGAAGAGAAGAAAUACAGAUGAGAGGUUUUAGGGGCUAGGGAAAACAUUAAGCAGGGUGAUAUUGAGUGGGGGGUGGGGGCAGAGAGAGAGAGAGAGAAAGAGAGAGGAAGAGAGAGAGAUAGGGUAGCUAUUUCAGAGUGAAUUAUUGGGAAGCCUGUCCUGCCUGACAAGGUUACGCAAGAGCUCAGAAUCACAGGAUGGAGCCAGUUGUGCAAAUAUCAAGGAAGAUUCUAAGCUGAGGGAUGAGUGAGACCAAAAGCCCUUGGGUGGGGGGG
Long non-coding RNA from Felis catus (domestic cat), 11077 nucleotides. RefSeq lists it as uncharacterized. The transcript has 17 exons. The record is from RefSeq and is a predicted model, not a curated record. Lineage: Eukaryota; Metazoa; Chordata; Mammalia; Carnivora; Felidae.